Molecule: ribosomal RNA, 882 nt
Filed under: Streptococcus gordonii
Lineage: Bacteria; Bacillati; Bacillota; Bacilli; Lactobacillales; Streptococcaceae
Description: bacterial SSU rRNA
Rfam family: Bacterial small subunit ribosomal RNA
Source: RNAcentral
AGUUUAUACCGUAGCUUGCUACACCAUAGACUGUGAGUUGCGAACGGGUGAGUAACGCGUAGGUAACCUGCCUGGUAGCGGGGGAUAACUAUUGGAAACGAUAGCUAAUACCGCAUAAUAUUAAUUAUUGCAUGAUAAUUGAUUGAAAGGUGCAAUUGCACCACUACCAGAUGGACCUGCGUUGUAUUAGCUAGUAGGUGAGGUAACGGCUCACCUAGGCGACGAUACAUAGCCGACCUGAGAGGGUGAUCGGCCACACUGGGACUGAGACACGGCCCAGACUCCUACGGGAGGCAGCAGUAGGGAAUCUUCGGCAAUGGACGAAAGUCUGACCGAGCAACGCCGCGUGAGUGAAGAAGGUUUUCGGAUCGUAAAGCUCUGUUGUAAGAGAAGAACGGGUGUGAGAGUGGAAAGUUCACACUGUGACGGUAUCUUACCAGAAAGGGACGGCUAACUACGUGCCAGCAGCCGCGGUAAUACGUAGGUCCCGAGCGUUGUCCGGAUUUAUUGGGCGUAAAGCGAGCGCAGGCGGUUAGAUAAGUCUGAAGUUAAAGGCUGUGGCUUAACCAUAGUACGCUUUGGAAACUGUUUAACUUGAGUGCAGAAGGGGAGAGUGGAAUUCCAUGUGUAGCGGUGAAAUGCGUAGAUAUAUGGAGGAACACCGGUGGCGAAAGCGGCUCUCUGGUCUGUAACUGACGCUGAGGCUCGAAAGCGUGGGGAGCGAACAGGAUUAGAUACCCUGGUAGUCCACGCCGUAAACGAUGAGUGCUAGGUGUUAGGCCCUUUCCGGGGCUUAGUGCCGCAGCUAACGCAUUAAGCACUCCGCCUGGGGAGUACGACCGCAAGGUUGAAACUCAAAGGAAUUGACGGGGGCCCGCACAA